RNAcentral lists this ribosomal RNA (253 nucleotides) under uncultured bacterium. RNAcentral's name for it is "partial 16S ribosomal RNA". It matches the Rfam family "Bacterial small subunit ribosomal RNA", at positions 524 to 776 of the family's 1533-position model. The record is from RNAcentral.
UACGUAGGGACCGAGCGUUGUCCGGAAUCAUUGGGCGUAAAGAGCGUGUAGGCGGCCCCUUAAGUCCUGCGUGAAAUCCUGCGGCUCAACCGCAGACGGUCGUGGGAAACUGGAGGGCUAGAGUGCGGGAGAGGAGAGUGGAAUUCCCGGUGUAGCGGUGAAAUGCGCAGAUAUCGGGAAGAACACCAGUGGCGAAGGCGGCUCACUGGUCCGGUACUGACGCUGAGGUGCGAAAGCGUGGGGAGCAAACAGG